Molecule: ribosomal RNA, 483 nt
Filed under: uncultured bacterium
Lineage: Bacteria
Description: partial 16S ribosomal RNA
Rfam family: Bacterial small subunit ribosomal RNA
Source: RNAcentral
GACGAACGCUGGCGGCGUGCCUAACACAUGCAAGUCGAACGAGGUCCAAGGAAGCUUGCUUCCUGACGACCUAGUGGCGAACGGGUGAGUAACACGUGAGAAACCUGCCUCGGAGUGGGGAAUAACUCGGGGAAACUCGAGCUAAUACUGCAUGUCUUCACAUGAUCGCAUGGUCGAGUGAAGAAAGAAUUUCGCUCUGAGAGGGUCUCGCGGCCUAUCAGCAUGUUGGUGGGGUAACGGCCCACCAAGGCAACGACGGGUAGCUGGUUUGAGAGAACGAUCAGCCACACUGGGACUGAGACACGGCCCAGACUCCUACGGGAGGCAGCAGUGGGGAAUCUUGCGCAAUGGGCGAAAGCCUGACGCAGCAACGCCGCGUGCGGGAUGACGGCCUUCGUGGUUGUAAACCGCUUUCAGCAGGGACGAAAAUGACGGUACCUGCAGAAGAAGCCCCGGCUAACUACGUGCCAGCCGCCGCCGUAA